RNAcentral lists this microRNA (23 nucleotides) under Caenorhabditis briggsae. RNAcentral's name for it is "cbr-miR-2222". Lineage: Eukaryota; Metazoa; Nematoda; Chromadorea; Rhabditida; Rhabditidae. The record is from miRBase by way of RNAcentral.
UAUCACAAGAACAGAUCCAGCAC